This 787-nucleotide long non-coding RNA is filed under the name Ananas comosus (pineapple). Its description in RNAcentral is "long non-coding RNA (ACOM_LNC003924)". Lineage: Eukaryota; Viridiplantae; Streptophyta; Magnoliopsida; Poales; Bromeliaceae. The record is from RNAcentral.
AUGUCGAUUUCCAUUUCCAAUUAAGGACCUACACAAGGUAGUCCAACUUGUGCCGCCUAGCUGCCGGUGGUAGUACCAACAUUCCCCCUCGAGGAACGGGACUGUCCCACACGACCCUACAGGCGCCUCGCCGCCUAGCUGCCCGUGGUAGCACAUCAUCCCAAGCUGGAAGAAAGCUGUCCCACGCGACCCUACAGGCGUCUCAAUCCCGUACGCGGGAACUGCGUCGCAAAAAGGCCAACUCCGGAGUGCCGGCUUGUAGUGAGCAACCCUCACAAGCAUGUGCGAAUGAGCACAAAUGGCAAGCAAGCAAAGUCAUCAUCUCAACGAUCCGGUCAUCAUGGCUCUACCAUGGAAAUGAACGCUAGCAACUAAUAGGUCUAGUCCAAUGUCCCAAGUGAAGGUUUAACCAUUCAUUAUGUCCAAUGCCCCUUUAUGGCAUUACAUCUUACUAUGCCCAAAUCUUGUUCCAACACUAAUGCCACUUCAUGACAUUAGGAUUACUAAGUCUACACAUAUUCCAAGCCCAAUGCCUCUUAAUGACAUUAGCUUACUAUAUCAAUUCCGAGCUUAUGCCUCUUUAUGACAUUAGCUUUCCUUAUCCAUAUCUAGUCCAAGAAUGUAAUGCGCUUGUCAUUUUCACUAUAUGAAACAUGAUCCAAAUCCACACAUAAGGAUGCUAUCCAUAGGCCCCAGCCCAACAUGCAAACCCUCUACUACAUAGAGGUUCAAAAAUAUAUUAUACAUAACAUGUGCCUUUUAAGCAUUCUAAAAUUCUCAAUUAUUC